CCUACGGGAGGCAGCAGUGAGGAAUAUUGGUCAAUGGGCGCGAGCCUGAACCAGCCAAGUAGCGUGAAGGAUGACUGCCCUACGGGUUGUAAACUUCUUUUAUAAAGGAAUAAAGUGAGGCACGUGUGCCUUUAUGUAUGUACUUUAUGAAUACGGAUCGGCUAACGCCGUGCCAGCAGCCGCGGUAAUACGGAGGAUCCGAGCGUUAUCCGGAUUUAUUGGGUUUAAAGGGAGCGUAGAUGGGUUGUUAAGUCAGUUGUGAAAGUUUGCGGCUCAACCGUAAAAUUGCAAUGGAUACUGGCAGUCUUGAGUACAGUUGAGGUAGGCGGAAUUCGUGGUGUAGCGGUGAAAUGCUUAGAUAUCACGAAGAACUCCGAUUGCGAAGGCAGCUUACUAAACUGCCACUGACAUUGAUGCUCGAAAGUGUGGGUAUCAAACAGGAUUAGAUACCCCAGUAGUC
RNAcentral lists this ribosomal RNA (460 nucleotides) under uncultured bacterium. RNAcentral's name for it is "partial 16S ribosomal RNA". It matches the Rfam family "Bacterial small subunit ribosomal RNA", at positions 338 to 795 of the family's 1533-position model. The record is from RNAcentral.